RNAcentral lists this long non-coding RNA (229 nucleotides) under Brassica rapa (field mustard). RNAcentral describes it as "long non-coding RNA (BRAP_LNC000471)". Lineage: Eukaryota; Viridiplantae; Streptophyta; Magnoliopsida; Brassicales; Brassicaceae. The record is from RNAcentral.
UGUUAUUGAAAUUCUGUGUUCUUAUAUCUAUUUUCUGUAUUUCUCUACAUGAUUAAUCUGAAAUCCAACAUGGGUUUAAGAGGAAUCAUGGAGAUUAGUGAGUAAUCACCUUUUGAAUUCAUGGGUUAGGGAGAUUAAGGGUGAUUAGGUUAGAGCUAGGAUGUUUUAGUGUAGAUCAUUCAUAUUUCCUUGCUAGUAGAGUAUUCAUAAUGCAUCCUCUGAGUUGGCC